UACACAGUAGAUGUUUAAUAAAUGGUGAUUGAUCAAGGAGGAACAGGGCCUCCACCUGGGUCUGGGCUGGAUGUAACCCCGUCGGGUUCGGGGACGCCUGGCAGCCCGAUCCCACGCCCGGCUUCUCGCUAUGGGUUUUUUUCUUGGGGGGGGGGCACAAAGGAGGAGAGCGGAGGAGGGGAGCGGGAGGCCCACGGGGAGGCUCAGCCCCUCUCCCAGCGCAGAAAGCUGGCACUGCCAGCCGCGGCCACAGGCGACGCUCUUCUCGCUCCCCUCCCCCUCACGCCUUAUCGGAGCCCGGCGUGUCCCUUAUCACGUUGGGUCUCUUUCUAAUCGUCGCCGUCGCCGACGCAUUCUCUCCGCCAUCGUCGUUACCUCUCCCUCGAACCUUCUCUGUGUAACUAUUACCGCUGCAGUCGGUCGUCUCGUGGGCUGCAUCGCAAGGAAAACACCUGAGUUUGGAGCCUCUCUCUCUCUGCCAUCCGGGGUGAUUUUAGGGAGCAAUUGUAAAGAAAAAUGGAGGGGAGCACUAAGAAGCAAGAAGCAAAGGUGGCAAAUGAGCCAACUGAUUCCACCCUCGAAAAACAGCCAGCCCCAACCCCCCCACAAGGGGAAUCGGAAGCCGAUAGUUCCGAGGAAGAAGUUCCCCAAGAGCUGAAAGUGUGGGGCUACGGAGGGGCCGAAGGGGGGGGCUGCUGGCUGCAGGAGGAGGCCUUGAGCAUUCCUGGAUCGGCGGAGGAGGAUGAGGAGAGUGAGGCUAUCCAAGCCAUGGCGCUCGGGGUGGAAUUACAGUGCAGGCUCCAGCUCCACCUGGAUCAGCUGGAGGCCAAGGCCAAAUCCAGGGCCAGGGCCAGGGCCAGGGCCAGGGCCAGGGCCGCGAUGGCUGCCAGACGGGGCAGCCCGGAACGCGCCCUGGGAGCUUCGGCAAGUCCGGCAGCCGCGGCCCGCCCUCAGCCCUUGGUGGUCCGGGGCAGUCGGGGGGAGCCCCACAUCCGAGCUCAAGAGACGGAGGCCUCCCUGGGGCAGGCCCCUGAGGAAGUCAAACCAGGUGUGAAGGGAGGCCGAGAUCCAUUCGGGGCUCCCGUUCGGAAAACGGGAAAGGGCCCCAGAGGAAAGGAAGCUGCUGCUAAAGCUCGGGAAGGUCCGCCGGCCUCUAAUCCUCCUAGUAUCUGCCAGAGAAGAGAGAACUACCCAAAUCUGGAGCUGAAAGGCUCGGUCCCAGAAGGAGCCAUCACCCUGGGGCACACACGUGAGAGCCACGUUCUCAGGGACCCCAGUAGCCAGAAGCCGGGAGAGACCCCAAGUCCGCUCGGGGAGCAGCUGGAGAGCCCUUGCCUCGCGUGUCUGUGCGCGAGUUCGGGCCCACGGCCGUCCCCCGCCGUCGUCAGCACGGCCACUUCUGCCGCCUCGGCCGCACCCCGCAGACUCUCGUGGUGUCCCAUACGUGCGGCCCCCUCCCCCACCCCCGGCACCCGGCCCACACUCCUCCAGAAGCAGAGGAGGCCUCUGUCUACCCCUCUCCACCUUGCGGCCCGUCUGAGCCAGAGACGUCUGCCGGUGGCAGGAAGGAAGAGUCCCAAGCUCCCGGCAAGUCUCCCGCUCCAGGGCCUCCAGCAGAAGAAAAUACAAAGGAAGAGCCUCUAGCGGGAACUGAAGGCCUCGUUCCCACGAGUCCCCACGCAGCAAGCGCCAGGGGGGUACCCUGGGCCUCGGUCUCCAUGAAGAGAAGCCUCCAGAAGCGAAGCAGUCCCUGCCUCAGUGAGCUCAUGUGGUGCUGGAGGAGAUGGAAGAAGGAGUGAAAAAGCAAGAGACGCAGGGUGCCGGGCUGGGCCCUGCCACGGGGCCCAGUGGGGAAUGGCUUCCUGGAAAAGGGAGGCAGCCCCGGGGCUGCUCAGUGAAGAUGAUCCGUAAGGUGCACGGGAGUCGCUCGGGACCCUCUUCUCCCCCAGGCCCCACUUGAGCUGCUAGGUCAGAGCCUUACGUCUCCUGUUGGAACCACACCCCGCCAGACGCCCGGCCGGCCGUUGGGCCUUAGGAGUCUCUUGAGGGAGGGGCCCCUGCUCAGAGGCCCUGGUCCCCGGUUUUGGAAUCCUUAAGUCCAAGCAGUUCCCUGGGGUCUCCGGAGGACCUAGAGCCGGUGGGGUGCUGGAAGGUUGGGAUCUGCCACCCUUUAGGCUCCUCUCUCCGCCUUGUCACCGAGAUCUCGGUUACGUCCCCCCUACUUGCUGGGGCCGUCUCCCCAGUUACCCCGUCUCCCUUAAGCUCCCUCCCAUCCCUAAGUCUUGAACCUGGGGAGCCAGGCUGGGCCCCCAGGGAGGGGGGGGGGCGACCUCGGCCACGGUUUGUCUCUGUAGCUCCUCGGUGCCCGGCAUGGAAGAGAGAUUCAAAA
This is a long non-coding RNA of Sarcophilus harrisii (Tasmanian devil), 2389 nucleotides long. The record is from Ensembl. Lineage: Eukaryota; Metazoa; Chordata; Mammalia; Dasyuromorphia; Dasyuridae.